Molecule: ribosomal RNA, 996 nt
Filed under: Triticum aestivum (bread wheat)
Lineage: Eukaryota; Viridiplantae; Streptophyta; Magnoliopsida; Poales; Poaceae
Description: partial small subunit ribosomal RNA
Source: RNAcentral
AUGGCGACGACGGCGCUGAUACUCCUCCUGGUGUUGUCGUCUUCGCCAGCGGUGGUGGCGUGGAAAGAUUCCGGGCUGUCCGUCGGGUUCUACAGGGAGUUGUGUCCCAAGGCGGAGAAGGUCGUCCGGCGAGUCGUCACCAAGGCAUUCAAGAAGGAGCCUGGCACCCCUGGCGACAUCAUCCGACUCUUUUUCCACGACUGCUUUGUCCGCGGUUGUGACGCCUCGGUGCUACUCGAGUCAACACCAGGGAACACCGCGGAGAGGGACUCGAAGCCAAACAACCCCAGCUUGGAUGGUUUCGAAGUCAUAAGUGACGCCAAGGAGAUUCUCGAGAAACUUUGCCCACAAACCGUCUCUUGUGCCGACAUUCUAGCCCUCUCUGCUCGUGAUGGUGCCUUCCUCGCUAGCGGGCUCGACUAUGCCAUUCCGACGGGUCGGCGUGAUGGACUCGUCUCCAAGGCAGACGAGGUUCUCCCUAGUGUCCCUCACCCCGACUUCCACCAUGAUCAGCUUAUCGGAAACUUCACUGCAAAAGGUUUUACGGCGGAGGAGCUGGUGACACUGUCUGGAGCCCACUCCAUCGGCACCUCACACUGCUCGUCAUUCACGGACCGUUUGUACAAGUACUACAACGACGGCGCAUACGGCACUGACCCGGCGAUGCCGGCGGCAUACGCGGAGCGCCUCAAGAAGAAGUGCCCUCCGGAGACGGCGGCGCACAACGACACCACAAUGGUGCAGCUCGACGACGUGACACCGUUCGUGAUGGACAACCAGUACUACAAGAACUUGCUGGCCGGCACGGUGGCCUUUGACUCGGAUAUGGCGCUCAUGGACGACCCUGAGACGGCGGCCCUCGUCGAGCUCUACGCCCGGGAGCCCUCCGACUACUGGACCGAGCGAUUCGCCGCCGCGAUGGUGAAGAUCAGCAAGAUGGACGUGCUCACCGGCAGCGAGGGGGAGAUCAGGCUGAACUGCUCCAAGGUGAACUAG